This is a long non-coding RNA of Papaver somniferum (opium poppy), 2225 nucleotides long. RefSeq lists it as uncharacterized. NCBI's taxonomy places the organism in Eukaryota, Viridiplantae, Streptophyta, Magnoliopsida, Ranunculales, Papaveraceae. The record is from RefSeq and is a predicted model, not a curated record. The transcript is spliced from 2 exons.
AUACAAAAUUGUGUCUAAAGUUUUAGCAGAAAGGUUCAAAACGGCUCUUCAUUCUAUUAUUUCUUCUAAGAAAAGACAAAUUUUUGAUGGGGUGCUUGUGGCAAAUGAGUUGAUUGAUUCAAGGAUUAGAAGUGGCAAACCUGGUCUCUUUUGCAAAAUUGAUUUUGAGAAGGCUUUCGAUCAUGUGAAUUGGGAUUUCUUAGAUGAAAUUCUGGAGAAAAUGGGUUUUGGAACCAAAUGGAGGAGUUGGGUGAAAUAUUGUGUGGAGUAUGUCAGGUUCUCUGUUAUUAUAAAUGGAUCUGCAGCUGGUUAUAUCAAAAGUAAUAAAGGGAUCAGGCAGGGAGAUCCCUUAUCUCCUUUUCUUUUUCUUCUUGUUGGUGAAGCUUUGUCAUAUGAUAAAACAAGCUCAGGAUAAGGGUCUUAUUUCUGGGUUUCAAGCCUUGGAUGGAGGUAAGAUGGUGAGUCAUUUAUAGUUUGCGGAUGAUACUCUCAUUUUCAUUGAUGCUUCUGUUGAGAAAGUUCAACAACUAAGAUUACUUCUUAUCUCCUUUGAAUUGAUAACUGGUUUGAAGAUUAAUUUUGCCAAGAGUCAAAUUUAUGGUGUUGGGUAUGAAGGUGACUUGCAUCAAUUCUCUAGUUUACUGGGCUGUUAUUCUGGAACAUUACCUACAACUUACUUGGGUUUUCCUUUGGGUGACAAAUACAAGGGAAUAGUAAAAUGGGAUAAGAUAAUUGACAAAUGUACUUACAGAUUGGGAGGAUGGCAGAAACCUUUGUUAUCAAGACAAGGAAAAAUUAAUUUGAUAAAUAGUGUGUUGGCCAGUCUUCCUAAAUACUAUAUGUCUCUCUUCGAAAUGCCAAUCUCAGUUUCUAAGAAGAUUGAAAAGUUAAUGAGAGACUUUUUAUGGGAUGGUAAGAAUGGAAAGAAGAAGUUGCAUCUGGUAAAAUGGAAAGUGUUACAUAGAAAGAAAAAGUUCGGAGGUAUGGGAGUUAAGAAUCUAACAAAGAUGAAUACGGCUUUACUGUCAAAGUGGCAUUGAAUAUUUGCACAUGAAUAAGAUGCUUUAUGGAGAAAAAUUGUGGUAGAGAAGUAUGGGUUUGACGGAGUGAAUUGGCUGGCUAAGUCCUCUAAAAUUUCUUUUGGCAGGAAUGUUUGCAAAGGAAUUUUGAAGUGCAAGGAGUUUUUCAGAAAUCAUAUAAGAUUUAAGAUUAAUAAGGGCACUAAAGUAAGGUUAUGGUAAGACAAUUGGCUAUUACAAUCUCCUUUGUGCUCAACAUUCCUAAUCUUUUUCAACUGUCAAGAAGGAAGGAUGCUUGCGUGUCAGAUUGUUAUAAUAUUGAUUCAGGUACAGUAACUUGGAACAUUGGUGUACCUAGAAGACUUAAUUCAAAUAUAAGGACCGAAAUGAAUUGGCUACUGACAGAACUUAAUGGUGUGGUUAUAAAUUCUGAAGAAGAAGAUAUCUUAGAGUGGUCACUUUCUGGAAAGAAGAUUUAUACAGUCAAAUCAGCGUAUGAAUUUCUUGCUACUGAUCACAUGGAGAUGUCUGCUUAAAAUAUCUUUAACAUAAUCUGUCAUUUAAAAAUACCUCCCAAAGUUGAGUUGAUUUUUUUCUUUGGUCAAUAGCGCACUCAAGAUUACCUACCAGAGACAUGUUAAGAAGAAGGGGAAUGGAGGUGCCUCAAAAUUGUCUAUUCUACAGUGAACCGGAAACAACUGAUCGUGUCUUCAUCCACUUAACAAAGUUCAUGCUCAAGCGUGGAGUAUCAUUCCUGCAGUUAUUCUUUGGUGUUUAUGGAAGGAAAGAAAUUACAGAUUUUUCAAUGGUACAGAACACACGGAAGCAACAAUGAUAUGCAAAGUUCAAUACGAAAUGUUUACUUGGUGUCUGGCUUUUAAGGAUUUUCAGAGUCUUUCAUACUCUGAUGUUAUUGAGCAUUGGCCAAGAGCAUAUUUUGACGCUCCUUGAUCUAUGUAGUUUAUAGCUUUCUUCUGGUUUGGGGAGGUGUUUGUCUGUAGCUUUUUCCUUUUCUUUCUUUCUGAUAGUUUCAUUACUAUCUUUGUUUUGUAACUCUUAGGGUGGUACAAUUCUUUUGUACCCUCUACUUUUUUUGAUCAAUUUCAUCCUUUCUUUGCCGAUCAAAAAAAAAAACAUUCAGUUGAGACCAAAUUGUGUUAAGUUUUAAACAUGAUAUUAAUGCAUGCAUUGUUUUUUAUUGCUUCA